AGCCCCUGGCAAUGAGCAAAGAGACACCUUAAUGGUUGUGUUGCUCUUUUAUCAGCCAGGGGCAGAGCAGAUUGCAGUCCUUUGUCCUAGCUUGAUGCCUGGCUUGGUGGCCUAAGCUGUUUUAUGCCCAGGACUCAUAC
Molecule: small nucleolar RNA, 140 nt
Organism: Rattus norvegicus (Norway rat)
Lineage: Eukaryota; Metazoa; Chordata; Mammalia; Rodentia; Muridae
Product: small nucleolar RNA SNORA48
Source: Ensembl